RNAcentral lists this ribosomal RNA (837 nucleotides) under Triticum aestivum (bread wheat). RNAcentral's name for it is "partial small subunit ribosomal RNA". Lineage: Eukaryota; Viridiplantae; Streptophyta; Magnoliopsida; Poales; Poaceae. The record is from RNAcentral.
AUGCACUUUCUUCCCCGUAUUUCACUCUUCUUCCUCCUCUCUUCUUCUUCCUCCUCUCUUCUUCUUCCUCCUCUCUUCCCCAUCGUCGGCCGCACACCAUUUCCCCCCGCUCACUGCUCGCCCGCCCGCACCAUCUUCCUUGGUUGCCGUGGUGCCCUCGACAUGCUACUACCCGUCCACCUGUCCUUCAUGUGCAGCCACUACUGGGCAGGCAUGAAGGCCAACUGGAUCGUCCUCAUCCACCAAUCCGGUAGUCCGUGGCAUCUUGUGGAUAUCUACACCCAACGAGAGAUCACCCUUCCAUCGUUGGAUACCGCAGCCAACGAGCCUCACGGCCCGCCGGACACUCCUGCCUACUACGCACAAGACGACCUGGAAUCAUACCAGCCGAUGGGUGGUGGUUUGUCGCUCGUUCAGCUGAAGACGGAGCUCAUCGAGCACCUUGAGGCCAAAGUGACUGCUGAUAGCGCGAGAUCUCACCCUCUCAUUGAUUUUUUCAUACCAGCCAUCGACAGCGAGCACGACAUAUGCUACACCCAUCCUAAGAAACUUCCAGGUAUCACACUGAGUGGCCUAAGCAAGCAUUUCUUCCAGCGCAAUUCCAGGGCGUUCAAAAGGGGCACAUGGAUGCACCGCAAGAUACAAUCGGAGUGCGGCAUGCACGUGAUGUGGCACAAGGCCGACAAUACCUUGCCGGUGGUGGUCAACGGCUGGCAGACGGGCAGCAAAAAGGUUCUAGUGCUGCACACCAACAAGAACUUCGACCAGCAGAGGACCAACUGGUUGAUGCACCAGUACCACCUCGGGGACCUGGAGCAAGAGAAGGAGCGGGAGUAG